AUGGUGAAUGUGAUAAUUAAUCUUCCCUUGAGGGGUGGGGUGGUUAUGUGCGACUGCUACACACCACAAGGUGUUCCAAUCCCCACCAACAAGAGUCACAAUGCUGCCAAGAUCUUCAACACCUCGAAGGUUGCAGCUGAGGAGACAUGGUAUGGAAUUGAGCAGGAGUACACUCUCCUCCAGAAGGAUGUGAACUGGCACCUUGGCUGUCCCGUUGGUGGCUACCCUGGUCCUCAGGCAAGAAAACUCUCAGCAUGCUCUCCAGCUUUCCAUGUUGGAAGAAAAGAAGAAGAUCCAGAGAAGAUCUUAGUAAUAAGAUAG
RNAcentral lists this ribosomal RNA (321 nucleotides) under Triticum aestivum (bread wheat). Its description in RNAcentral is "partial small subunit ribosomal RNA". The record is from RNAcentral. Lineage: Eukaryota; Viridiplantae; Streptophyta; Magnoliopsida; Poales; Poaceae.